Molecule: ribosomal RNA, 433 nt
Filed under: uncultured bacterium
Lineage: Bacteria
Description: partial 16S ribosomal RNA
Rfam family: Bacterial small subunit ribosomal RNA
Source: RNAcentral
AACGAACGCUGGCGGCAGGCCUAACACAUGCAAGUCGAGCGGGGACUUCGGUUCUAGCGGCGGACGGGGGAGUAACGCCUGGGAAUGUGCACUUCUCUACGGAAUAGCCCUGGGAAACUGGGCUUAAUACCGUAUACGCUCUAUUGGGGAAAGAUCUAUCGGUGAAGGAUCAGCGCGCGUUGGAUUGGGUAGUUGGUGGGGGAAUGGCCUGCCAAUCCGUCGAUGCAUGGCUGGUUUGUUAGGAUGCUCUACUACGCUGGGACUGAGACACGGCCCAGACCGCGACGGGAGGGAGGAGUGGGGAAUCUUAUACAAUGAGGGCAACUCUGAUCUAGCCAUGCCGCGUGUGAGAUGAAGGCCUUAGGGUUGUAAAUUUCUCUCAGCUGAGAAGUGAGUGACGGUACUAGCAGAAGAAGCCCCGGCUAACUCCGUG